Molecule: ribosomal RNA, 978 nt
Filed under: uncultured organism
Description: bacterial SSU rRNA
Rfam family: Bacterial small subunit ribosomal RNA
Source: RNAcentral
GGGCUUAGUGGCGGACGGGUGAGUAACGCGUGAGAAUCUACCUUCGAGAUGGGGACAACCGUUGGAAACGACGGCUAAUCCCCAAUAAGCCGAAAGGUGAAAGGGUUUCCGCUCGCAGAGGAGCUCGCGUCCGAUUAGUUAGUUGGUGGGGUAAGAGCCUACCAAGGCAGCGAUCGGUAGCUGGUCUGAGAGGAUGAGCAGCCACACUGGGACUGAGACACGGCCCAGACUCCUACGGGAGGCAGCAGUGGGGAAUUUUCCGCAAUGGGCGCAAGCCUGACGGAGCAACGCCGCGUGUGGGAAGAAGGCUCUUGGGCUGUCAACCACUUUUCUCAGGGAAGAAGUCCUGACGGUACCUGAGGAAUCAGCCUCGGCUAACUCCGUGCCAGCAGCCGCGGUAAUACGGAGGAGGCAAGCGUUAUCCGGAAUUAUUGGGCGUAAAGCGUCCGCAGGGGGCACUUCAAGUCUGCUGUCAAAGGUCGGAGCUUAACUCCGGUUCGGCAGCGGAAACUGGAGUGCUAGAGGGCGACAGGGGUAGAGGGAAUUCCCAGUGUAGCGGUGAAAUGCGUAGAGAUUGGGAAGAACACCGGUGGCGAAAGCGCUCUACUGGGUCGCACCUGACCCUCAGGGACGAAAGCUAAGGUAGCGAAAGGGAUUAGAUACCCCUGUAGUCUUAGCCGUAAACGAUGGAUACUAGGCGUGGUUUGUAUCGACCCAAGCCGUGCCGAAGCUAACGCGUUAAGUAUCCCGCCUGGGGAGUACGCACGCAAGUGUGAAACUCAAAGGAAUGACGGGGGCCCGCACAAGCGGUGGAGGAUGUGGUUUAAUUCGAUGCAACGCGAAGAACCUUACCAGGGCUUGACAUCCCGCGAAUCUUGCUGAAAGGUGAGAGUGCCUUCGGGAGCGCGGAGACAGGUGGUGCAUGGCUGUCGUCAGCUCGUGUCGUGAGAUGUUGGGUUAAGUCCCGCAACGAGCGCA